UCGUCAGCUCGUGCCGUGAGGUGUUUGGUUAAAUCCAUUAACGGGCGCAACUCUUGUAUUAUUUUGGUAAUUAUUAAUUUCAUUUUUGUUAAUAGAAUUAAUAAUACAACUUCUAAUAUACUGCUAACUUCAAGUUAGAGGAAGGUGAGAAUUACGUCAAGUCCUUAUGGCCCUUAUGGACUGGGCUACACACGUGCUACAAUGAAUUUAACAAAGAGGUAUACAAUAAAGUCAAUUUGGAGUAAAACUCAAAAAGUUUUCGUGUUCAGAUUAUAAGCUGCAAUUCGCUUAUAUGAAGGUGGAAUCACAAGUAAUCGUAAAUCAGCAUGUUACGGUGAAAAUGUACCUAGAUUUUGCACACACCGCCCGUCACAUGCCGGAAGUGCGUUUUGUUUGAAAUUGAUUCUUUUAUUUCAUGUAACUGAAAUUAAUUCUAAAUGAUUUUUCAGUUUUACGGUUUUUUGAAGAAUUACUUAUUAUAGAGCAUAUGACUGGGAUGAAGUCGUAACAAGGUAGUCGUAC
RNAcentral lists this ribosomal RNA (522 nucleotides) under Lingulaulax polyedra. RNAcentral describes it as "Lingulodinium polyedra partial Bacterial small subunit ribosomal RNA". It matches the Rfam family "Bacterial small subunit ribosomal RNA", at positions 1052 to 1505 of the family's 1533-position model. The record is from RNAcentral. Lineage: Eukaryota; Dinophyceae; Gonyaulacales; Lingulodiniaceae.